RNAcentral lists this unclassified non-coding RNA (309 nucleotides) under Hevea brasiliensis (rubber tree). Lineage: Eukaryota; Viridiplantae; Streptophyta; Magnoliopsida; Malpighiales; Euphorbiaceae. The record is from RNAcentral.
GGGAAAGGUAUGUUCUGAUUAACACAGCCAGUUUGAGCAUUUUGGUUGAAUUUUUGUUAGGAUGACUCCUGACACAUGGAAAGAUUAGAACUUAAACCUGUGAUUUUUGUGGUAAAUAUGAUUUUUGCUUAGAAGCUCAAAUUGUCAGGAUAUUGUUAGUACUUGUAAUAAAGAAAUUCUUGAACAUUGCUUACAUAGAUCCUGAGAUUGUCCAGGUUGAUCUCAUAAAAAAUUUGUUCAUCUAAGUAGUUUCUUCAUUUUGUUAAAGAAUGUUAUAUCUCAUUGUAUCAUUUGGUGUUUCUUGUACAG